AGAGUGAGAUGGGCAGGGAGGUAUAAAGAGGCGGCCAUAGAGGGAGAGGUGACACACAGCUCUGUCCUCGGUGCCAGACUAAACCAUGCUCGCCAUGCUGCAGAUGUGGACUCUCCUCACCUUGGCGCUCUUCUUCCUCACAUCUGUACAAGGUAACGGUGUGCAGAUGCAGAGGGAUGUGCAGUGUUGCAUGUUGUACUCCCAGGGCAAGGUGCGGACCAAAGACGUGCUGCGGUUCGAGGUGCAGACGGAGGGGCCAGACUGCAGCAUACAAGCCAUCAUUCUCUACACAAAGAAGGCGGUAAAAUGUGCUGAUCCCAGCGACCGUAAGGUGAAGAGGCUGCUCCGAAAACUGAUGCUGAGACAGAGGACUAAGGCCCAUCGAACCAUGUGGCUGCUCCCCUAUGACAACCUGCCUGUAAUGACAGAGCGUCACUGUCCUGUAGGAGAAGAAACAUAACUGGGCUGAUCUCAACGUGGAGUGAAGGAACAAAGAAAUGUGGACCUAUAUAGUCAUAAGCCAAGUAAACUGUCAGCGGCUCGUCACUCUUACCCGGCGGGCUUUGGCUGACCCUCCAGUUGUAUUGUGUCAAUCUACUCUCUCCAUCUCCCUGGGAUCAGACCUGGGCAGCAAUAGCAUAUUUAAAACGUUAUACAUAUUUAUACAUGGACUGCGCUUUAUAUCCAAAUCGUGUGGCUGUACCUCCACAUUAGAGUGAUGUAAGUUUGACAUAUGGCGUAUACUGUUAUUUGCCAGAGUCUUUCUGGAAGUGACUGUUAUAUCUGAUGUGUACUACUCUAUUCAUUGUGACUAACAGUAUAUUUUAUGUCAGUAAUGUGUAAAGACACCGUACACAGUGUUUUGGAGAUAUUCUGUCUCUGUAAUGAUUUGCACCUAUUUUUGUACAAUUUUUCUUUAGUUCAGGCUGAUAUAUGACUGUUCAGUGGGUGACAAAGGACAAUAGUCUGCACCUGCUUCUCUGAAUUUCUUGGACUGUUUGUAAAAUAUACAUCUGCAAAGCAUUUUAAUCAUACAGCCCUCAUCUCAGGCUUCAACUGCAGAUUUCAACAUUACAAUAGUCAGAGAAUAAACUAUGCCAAAGUUUAAAUAAUCUGAUUCACAAUAUGACCUGGCUUUUCAAACCAUGAGGGCUCAAACGUGUGUCCCGACACACUGUUGUUGUACUGGGAAAGACUGCACUGUCUGUUACACCUGUAUCUGAAGUGAACUCUUUUAUAAAUGAAUCUAAACAAA
RNA transcript from Periophthalmus magnuspinnatus, 1255 nucleotides. It is a transcript of the gene named chemokine (C-C motif) ligand 44, with no coding region annotated. Lineage: Eukaryota; Metazoa; Chordata; Actinopteri; Gobiiformes; Gobiidae. The transcript has 5 exons. The record is from RefSeq and is a predicted model, not a curated record.